CGGAAAAACAGACGUAAAGAGAACGCUACAUGUGAGAACAGGAAGAAUGAGAGACUACUUUAUGUGGGCAUACCUGAGUUUCUACACUAAUGGGGACCUUAUUUAAGCAAGGUUACCUGUUGUCUGACUUUUCUGAUGAAAUUGGUAAUUGUGUAACUGUAUGUAAAACAUAGAAGAAUAAAUAAAGGACACUAGAAAAUAA
This is a long non-coding RNA of Schistocerca serialis cubense, 202 nucleotides long. RefSeq lists it as uncharacterized. The transcript has 2 exons. The record is from RefSeq and is a predicted model, not a curated record. Lineage: Eukaryota; Metazoa; Arthropoda; Insecta; Orthoptera; Acrididae.